UAAAAAUCGACUAAAUUUACUUUGACAGAGUCAUGCUGCAAUGACCGAAGGUUAUUCAGUGUUAUUUUUUACGUAAAUUUGCUCAUUUAUCUGGAGUGAAUAGCAACAUGAAUGUGGUUGGAUCUAUUUUAUUUGGUGGUUGUAUGCGGAGAACUUCAUUACUGAAUCUAACACGGCACAGCAGCAGCAGCCUCCUGAAAUUGAAAAAACUCCAGGCUGAUUUCCAGAUGGAAGAUGGAAAGCCAAUUUGGCUGAAACGUGGAAUGUGUGACAGAAUUCUCUACACUUCAACGAUUGUUAGUUCCUUGCUUGGCAUUGUAAUGGUGAUCUCGUGUCUUUACGACAAUGCUAAGCCUGAAUCAUGGAAAGUCAAACAUGAUUAACCUACCUACCCAAUUAUUUUGAAAGUGUCAUUGAAAAUAUAGUUGGAAAUAAAUACUUGCGAUACAAAAUUAGAUUGUCAAUGUAUUUUCAUAUGUUAGAACAAUAAAUACCUACCUAUAUAGUAUCUACUAAA
Molecule: long non-coding RNA, 517 nt
Organism: Leptidea sinapis
Lineage: Eukaryota; Metazoa; Arthropoda; Insecta; Lepidoptera; Pieridae
Exons: 3
Source: RefSeq, a predicted model, not a curated record